GUUGCGGGAGGCAAUGGAUUCCUGCCUGGCAUGUCGCCGAACCGCCCUCGCACGGGACGAUGAUUCCUACCGGCGC
Molecule: non-coding RNA, 76 nt
Organism: Sphingomonas sp. LH128
Lineage: Bacteria; Pseudomonadati; Pseudomonadota; Alphaproteobacteria; Sphingomonadales; Sphingomonadaceae
Source: Rfam